UGAUGAUGCAGUCUAAGAUGGAAACGGGCUAACCUGAAAGGGUAUGACAGUUAUUAUUAAACCCACAACGCUUUGGUUUCUACACGGCAUCGUGCCGAAACGCUUAAUCGCUUGGCGGCACGGCUUUGCCGGUAGGGUGGUAACUAGCCACAGCCGAAGCCUGCUGCCAGAC
Molecule: long non-coding RNA, 172 nt
Organism: Maniola jurtina (meadow brown)
Lineage: Eukaryota; Metazoa; Arthropoda; Insecta; Lepidoptera; Nymphalidae
Exons: 2
Source: RefSeq, a predicted model, not a curated record